Molecule: ribosomal RNA, 446 nt
Filed under: uncultured bacterium
Lineage: Bacteria
Description: bacterial SSU rRNA
Rfam family: Bacterial small subunit ribosomal RNA
Source: RNAcentral
UUCCAGACUCCUACGGGAGGCAGCAGUGGGGAAUAUUGCACAAUGGGGGAAACCCUGAUGCAGCGACGUCGCGUGAGUGAUGAAGUAUUUCGGUAUGUAAAGCUCUAUCAGCAGGGAAGAAAAUGACGGUACCUGACUAAGAAGCCCCGGCUAACUACGUGCCAGCAGCCGCGGUAAUACGUAGGGGGCAAGCGUUAUCCGGAUUUACUGGGUGUAAAGGGAGCGUAGACGGCGAUGCAAGCCAGAUGUGAAAGCCCGGGGCUCAACCCCGGGACUGCAUUUGGAACUGUGUGGCUGGAGUGUCGGAGAGGCAGGCGGAAUUCCUAGUGUAGCGGUGAAAUGCGUAGAUAUUAGGAGGAACACCAGUGGCGAAGGCGGCCUGCUGGACGAUGACUGACGUUGAGGCUCGAAAGCGUGGGGAGCAAACAGGAUUAGAUACCCGCGUA